Molecule: ribosomal RNA, 464 nt
Filed under: uncultured bacterium
Lineage: Bacteria
Description: bacterial SSU rRNA
Rfam family: Bacterial small subunit ribosomal RNA
Source: RNAcentral
AGAGUUUGAUCAUGGCUCAGAACGAACGCUGGCGGCAUGCCUAACACAUGCAAGUCGAACGGGAUCCUAGCUUGCUAGGUGAGAGUGGCGGACGGGUGAGUAACACGUGGGAAUCUGCCUUUUGGUUCGGGAUAACCGCGGGAAACUGCGGCUAAUACCGAAUGCCCUCGAGAGAGGAAAGAUUUAUCGCCAGAAGAGGAGCCCGCGUCCGAUUAGGUAGUUGGUGGGGUAAAGGCCUACCAAGCCGACGAUCGGUAGCUGGUCUGAGAGGAUGAUCAGCCACACUGGGACUGAGAUACGGCCCAGACUCCUACGGGAGGGCAGCAGUGGGGAAUAUUGGACAAUGGGGGCGAACCCUGAUCCAGCAAUGCCGCGUGAGUGAUGAAGGCCUUAGGGUUGUAAAGCUCUUUUGUCCAGGGAAGAUGAUGACUGUACCUGGAGAAUAAGCCCCGGCUAACUUCGUG